ACUUUACCAUUGGAGGUGC
RNAcentral lists this microRNA (19 nucleotides) under Lotus japonicus. RNAcentral's name for it is "lja-miR11068a-3p". Lineage: Eukaryota; Viridiplantae; Streptophyta; Magnoliopsida; Fabales; Fabaceae. The record is from miRBase by way of RNAcentral.